Molecule: long non-coding RNA, 5093 nt
Filed under: Homo sapiens (human)
Lineage: Eukaryota; Metazoa; Chordata; Mammalia; Primates; Hominidae
Description: HSALNT0139899
Source: RNAcentral
UGGUUUUAUAAAGAGGAGUUCCUCUACACAAGCUUGCUCUUCCCUGCUGCCAUGUAAGAUGUGACUUGCUCCUCCUUGCCUUCCACCAUGAUUGUGAGGCCUCCCCAGCCACAUGGAACUACCAGCCAACACUUACGGAAAAUAGAACCUACGUUGAAAUAUUGGGGGCUGGUUUCCUCUAUACAAGAGGAGUCAUGAAUAUUUAUGAAAGGAGAAAUCGCACAUGCACAGGUUCAUAGGCAGAAGGGACUUACCUUGCCUCAGUAUGAAUGAUGGAUAACAGAACCAGAGACUGGGAACAUGGAGGCCAAGGGGGAACUCCUCGGGAGCUGCAACUGACACACAAAGGAAAUUUUAAGCAAGGCAGUGGAAAUGAGCAAGGCAAUUUACUUCUAUAGAAGGGUGCGCCCUCACAGAUGGAGCAAUGAAUGUGAAUUCGAAUUGUUGCAGAAUGUCAAAGGAGAACUCUUCCUGCUGUCUCAGAAUUUCAGCUGGAGCUACAGAGAUCAAAGAGAGGUUGUUAAAUACCCACUAAUUUGAAAGCGAGUUGACAGGCCAGCUGUGCAGAACAUGCUAAGGGGUAACCCCAAAAGACAGAUAAGCCUUUGUCUAUGACGUGCCUCAAGCCAAUACAAGGAGAAAAAAGAAGAGCAAUAAAGGAAAGACCAUGAGGAUGGGUUUCUGUGAGAAGAGCUGUAGAUUUUUCCUUUCUUCUCCAUACCUUGAGCCAAGUUGGGAGGUUGUAAAAAUCCUCUGACAGAGCUUGGGUGUGCUUCCUGCCAGGAGGAAGACUAACCUGGAACAAGCGGGUGGGGAGAGACCUUCAGAGAAUUUGGACUCCCUACAGUCGGGGGCACAGGGUUUUGUGUUGACUUGCACUUGUAGAAGUCCGAUGCCAGCCGGGCGCGGUGGCUCACGCCUGUAAUCCUAGCACUUUGGGAGGCUGAGGCGGGUGGAUCACGAGGUCAGGAGAUCGAGACCAUUCUGGCUAACACUGUGAAACCCCGUCUCUACUAAAAAAAAAAUGCAAAUUAGCCAGGUGUGGUGGCGGCGCCUGUAGUCCCAGUUACUCGGGAGGCUGAGGCAGGAGAAUGGCGUGAACCCGGGAAGCGGAGCUUGUAGUGAGCCGAGAUUGCACCACUGCACUCCAGCCUGGGCGACAGAGCGAGACUCUGUCAAAAAAAAAAAAAGAAAAAAGAAAAAAAAGAAAGAAAGAAGGAAAGAAAAAAUUCCGAUGCCAAUAGGCUGGGCUGCCUGUAGUGGGCCUUAUAGAAGGAAGAGCCAAGAGGCUUUUGAUGGAAGUGAAUUCUAUUUUUGCUCAUCCCAAACCAAGGGUACUAUUUCCAGAGGUCUCUUGGAACUCUAGAAGCUAUCUGGCCUUCGAUUGUUUGGAAAAUGAUCCCACCCCAAAGGGCUUCCUGCUGAGGAAAGAUGAAUCUGGUUGAAAGAGGCUGGUCUGUACUGUCGGAUGCAGAAGGAAAGGCAAAGGAUGGAAGGAGCAAAGCUUUUAAGCUGCCAGUAAGAGACUGUAUUAUCACCACAGGCAAGAGGAGUGCUGAGUAAGGUCUGCAGCAAGAGGUGCGGUUGGAUUUCUGAGGAGCCCACCGUACUCCAAGGAGCAGAAGAACUGGCCCUGUGGCAUCAGCUGCACCAUUUCAGAUUAUAACAUUCCAGUCUAACAUUCCAUUUGAUUCUUUGUUCUCUUUCCCAGCUUCAAGCUUGAAGAGCUGGAGACAGCAGAGAGAGUGGAAGAGUGGGAGGAACAGGAGAUCAGUAAAGUAGAUAAACAGGAAAGAAAGAAACCCUACUUCUUUCUCCAGUGCAGACUUCUGAGACUGAUCAGCCUCUAUGUGGGGCUACAAAAAUUGUAGGCUUUAACAGUUGAAUAUGAAACUAUUUAUUAAACUUCAAGGUGAAGAUAAAAGAUAUGGGAACCUCAUAAGCUUUCAUGCAGAGAGGGAUGAAUUGACAAAGUGGUUUUAAUAGGAUAGCAGGGAGGGGGGAAGGAAACAGCUGCUUUCUAUUUGUACUGACUCCCUCAUUAAAGUCACUGCAUUACAUUCAUCAGAAUUAGGGAUAUUUGGAAUGAAAGUAAUAACUCCAAUUUUAUUUCUUCAAAUGUGAAUUUAUAUGUUAGUUUGGGUUCCUCCAAAACAAGCUGAGAUAAAGAUUAAGAUGCAAUUUAUUUUGGGUGUGAUUCUCAAAAACAGCAGCAGAGGAAUGUGGAAUGAAGGCAGCUAACAAAGAAUUCAUUUUAAAGCAAGUUAUAUGGUUGGUUAGUAGAGCUCAACACCACUGGAAGAACUCUGGAAGUCAGGAUAGGGCACAUGCUUCAGAGUUAUCCCAAUGAAGACAAAAGAGAACUGUGAUGUUCCUAAAUCAACUGCUGUUAGUCUUUGUUAGAGAUCUACACUUGGAGAGGCAUUCAUUCUCUGGCACUUCUAGACUGCAAUAUAGAUGGCAAGAAGACACUGCCAGCAAGAAUAGCUCUCAGGCAAUAUAUAUGCAUGCUGGCAAGAGCUGCACUGCAAUAGGGCAAGAAAAUGUAAACAGGGAACUGACAAAAUCAAGUAUGUACCAUGGAUCAUAUAUUAAGAUGGGAGAGUAAAACAUAGCUCCAUCUUUUCUAUUGGGGAAUUUUAAGAAUAGACGUAAGUUCUCUCUUGGGAAGCUUUAUGUGUAAUGUGUCUGAAGCAAAGAAUAUUGAACAAGUCCUGUGCGUUUCUAUCAGAGCUAUUACAUAUAGUUAUAAAAAGGAGACAUUUUUAUUUGUACUAGAGGUCAGACUUCUCAAGUUUUAAAGUUUAGAAAUGUUUUAAAGGAACAAAAGCCCCAUUUUGAAUAAGAAUAGAAUUUUCUCUGAUACUUAAAGACCAGUAGGAGUUAACUCAGGUCUUUCUAAUUGUUGUAUAUGUGAUAAAAAAGAAGCUAAUGCACUAUUCAAAGUUUAAACAUUAUAUAAUGCUCACUGACACUGUUUUUAAGCAAUUAUUUACAUAACAACUACUUAAGAUAAUCUAUGGAAUAAUUUUAUAUUCAAGAAAUGAACAUAUUUAGGAAACAUAUUAACAUUCAGUAAUUGUUUAUUAAUUUCUAUCAGGUGUUCUUAUAUACUAGACACAAGCCAUGCAGCAGGGCAUAAGGCAGGAGGCAGGAUUCUUGCUCUCUAGUGGGGAAGUUCAAUAUAAAAGGGAAGAAAAUAAAUGACCUAAUUUCACACAGUCACAUAAUAAAUAUAUAAUUACAAACUGAAAAUGCUACAGAGGAAAAAUGGAGUAUACUUGGGAAGUUUAAGUUUUAAGAUGGAUUUUAAUUUUUCAUAUAACUUUCUCUUUUUUUGAAUUCUCCCACAUAUCAUGUUAAUAUGACAAAAUUGACACAUACUCAAGCUCAUGGCUGAAAGUAUAUUUGAAAAGUCAAAUACAUAGAAACAGAAAGUAGAAUUUUGGUUACUAGGCACAGGGAAGGGGAGGAAAUGGGGAGAUAAAGGCCAAAGGGUACAAACAUGCAAUUUGUGGACUACGAGGACUGUAGUUAAUAAUACUGUUUACUGAAAAUUUGCUAAGAGAGUAGAUUUUAGGGGCUUUUACUAUAAAAUAGGUAACUAUGGUAAUAUAUAAGUUAAUUUGCUUGACUGUAGCAAUUAUUUCACUAUGUAUAUCAAAACAUCAUGUUAUAUACCCCAAGUAUAGACAAUAAAAUUAAAAACAGCACAUGUCAACAGAAUUGAGCAGUGUGAAAAAUCAGAUUACCUUUUAGAAAGAACACUUGUACAGCAUUCAGAAUGACUAAAAUUAAAAAAAAUAGCAACAACACAAAUGCUGGUGAGGAUGUAGAGAAACUGGAUCACUCAUGCAUUGCUGGUGGGAAUGCGAAAUUGUUCAGCCAUUCUGGAAAAGUAGUUUGCUUGUUUCUUAAAGAAAACUCAACAUGCAACUACUAUAUGAUUCAACAAUUAUACUCGAGGGUAUGUAACCCAGGGAAACAAAAACUUAUGUUCUCACAAAACCUGCAUAUAAAUGUUUGCAGUAGAUUUAGUAGAUUUGCUAGUCAUGUCUAAAACUGGAAACAACCCAGAUGUUUUUCAGAGUGAAUGGUUAAACACAUAUGGUCCUACCAUAUCACGGAAUACUACUCAGCAAUAAGAAAGAACAAACAAUACAACCAGGAAUCUCCAGAGAAUUAUGUUAAUUGUAAAAGCCAAUCCUAAAAGGUGGCUUAUUAUAUGAUUUCAUUUAUAUGACAGUCUUUAAAAUGCAAAGUUAUAAAAAUGGAAAAUAGAUUACUGGUUGUUUGGGGUUUAGGAGGGAGUGGAAGUGGGAGAGAGGUGAGGGCAAUUAUAAAAGAGCAACAUAAGGAAGCCUUGUGAUGAUGGAAACGUUCUGUAUCUUGACUGUGCCAUUAUCAAUGUCCCAAUUGUGAUAUUUUACUAUAGUAUUGCAAGAUGCUAUCAUUGAGGAAAACGGGGUAAAGGGUACAGGGGGUCACACUGUAUUAUUUCUUACAAGGGCAUGUGAAUUUUCAAUUAUCUCAAAGUAAAAGUUUCAAUUAAAUAGAUAGCAUCUUUUAAAUGCAAGAAUAGGAGGUUAUUUUGUGUACUGGUGGCAGGCAAAAGUUUCUUUUUUCUUAAUAUAGUUUAUAAAGAAAAUAGAUACAUUAAAUAUCAAAAUUAAUACCUUUUGUUGAUCAAAAUAAAUAUACCCUUAAGAAAAUGAAUAGGCAAGGCAGAAUUUGUAGAAAACAAAUCAAACAAAACGUAUAUCCACAAUCUAUGUCUAUACCUAUACUUCAUUUUUUAUUUUUCAUAAAUAAAAAUAAAACAAUAAAAGGUGGGCAGAAUAACUGGCAAGAAACUUUAUGAACAUUUAUGAAUGCCCAAAAAAAGACAUACAAGUCUUUAUCCUCAUCAUUUAUUGAAUAAAUACAAAUGGAAAUCAAAGUCAAAUACCACUAGAUACUUAUUAGAAUAGAUAAAAUCUAAAAACUGAAAACAUUGAAUGUUGGCCAGCUUGUGGCACACCUGGAACUCUCAUGUGUUGUUGGUGGGAAUGUCAAAGUCUACCGCUUGUCAAAAUCUUUCUUUGAAAGUUCGG